UAAUCAUGGGAGGACAGUCCAUCUGGAAUAACAUACAAGAGGUGUUACUUCCGAUUCUGGGAGCAAAUGGAGAAGGACAGUGAUGCCGUGAUCCAGGCCCCCUCUGGGGUCUCCCCAGCACUUGGAUCGGCACCUGGUAUAAAGUAGGUCUCAGUCCGAGCCAGCUGAGUGAGAACAGGAAACUCAUGAAUGAAAUAGAUUAAGAGAAUCAAAGAUACUUGUAUUCAAGAAUAGCAAGUGGGAGUGUCCUCAACAGAAA
Non-coding RNA from Vicugna pacos (alpaca), 259 nucleotides. The record is from RefSeq and is a predicted model, not a curated record. NCBI's taxonomy places the organism in Eukaryota, Metazoa, Chordata, Mammalia, Artiodactyla, Camelidae.